AGGUUAGGGCCUCACCGCCCUUCUUCCACCCCUCAGGGAGGCCUCCGUGAUUCGGCCUCAGCCUCCGUCGCUCUGUGACCUGCGGGUAUUGGAUGAUUCGUAGCUGAGACUCCGCUACACCCCUGAAAUGGGGAAAUGACUAUUUAAUCAGCUGACAUAUCAACAGGCCAAAAUUUCCACCACAACUGCAAACUUGAAUGUGAAUGAAUGGAUUACAACAUGUUCAAGCCUUGUAAUGAGAGGCAUUAUAAUGGAAUAACCUAUCUACUAAUGGUCAGCACCUGUGUCUUUGUGUCUGAGGCCAGGGAUAAAUUCAUCAACUGGGUAGCCACCACUAUAGAAGAAGCCAACCACAAUCAAUGUCAGCUAUGUGUCGAGUUGCCAGAGGCCGCCAGGAAUGAGCUACCUUGAAGAAUCGUCCCUGACAACAUUUCUGAAUGGCUGUGUCACUACCAAUGGGGCCACAACACCACCACUUGCAAUCCAACCUGGACUUCCUAUGACCAAACCAAGCAAUCUAUUUAUGCCCAUGUCAGGUGAAAGGUGAACUCCACCCUCAGCGUGCAUCAGAAGCCUUGGUAUCCUGCCCAAUAUGCCUGGAACGGUAUAUAUUGGGAACCUGCUGUGCUGGUGGCCGGAUUCCAUAUAGCCCCCCCGCCACUUUGUCUGGAGGCCUUAAAUGGCUCCUCUAAUGUUACUCUGGGUUUCUCCCACCAGACAAUUGUCAACACAUACUCCAAAUCAACAAC
Molecule: non-coding RNA, 749 nt
Filed under: Pongo abelii (Sumatran orangutan)
Lineage: Eukaryota; Metazoa; Chordata; Mammalia; Primates; Hominidae
Source: RNAcentral